This 638-nucleotide ribosomal RNA is filed under the name uncultured marine bacterium. RNAcentral's name for it is "bacterial SSU rRNA". It matches the Rfam family "Bacterial small subunit ribosomal RNA", at positions 8 to 627 of the family's 1533-position model. The record is from RNAcentral.
AGAGUUUGAUCAUGGCUCAGGACGAACGCUGGCGGCGUGCCUAAUACAUGCAAGUCGAGCGAAUCGAUGGGAGCUUGCUCCCUGAGAUUAGCGGCGGACGGGUGAGUAACACGUGGGCAACCUGCCUAUAAGACUGGGAUAACUUCGGGAAACCGGAGCUAAUACCGGAUACGUUCUUUUCUCGCAUGAGAGAAGAUGGAAAGACGGUUUACGCUGUCACUUAUAGAUGGGCCCGCGGCGCAUUAGCUAGUUGGUGAGGUAAUGGCUCACCAAGGCGACGAUGCGUAGCCGACCUGAGAGGGUGAUCGGCCACACUGGGACUGAGACACGGCCCAGACUCCUACGGGAGGCAUCAGUAGGGAAUCUUCCGCAAUGGACGAAAGUCUGACGGAGCAACGCCGCGUGAACGAAGAAGGCCUUCGGGUCGUAAAGUUCUGUUGUUAGGGAAGAACAAGUACCAGAGUAACUGCUGGUACCUUGACGGUACCUAACCAGAAAGCCACGGCUAACUACGUGCCAGCAGCCGCGGUAAUACGUAGGUGGCAAGCGUUGUCCGGAAUUAUUGGGCGUAAAGCGCGCGCAGGUGGUUCCCUUAAGUCUGAUGUGAAAGCCCACGGCUCAACCCGUGGAGGGUCAUU